GAAGGCUAUGACGAAGGGGAGGAAGAGUGGGAAGAGGCUUACCAAGAAAGGGAAGUAAUUCAAGUUCAAAAGGAGGUCUAUGAAGAAUCACAUGAGAGAAAAGUUCCAGCCAAAGUACCUGAAAAGAAAGCACCACCACCUCCUAAAGUACCAGCUGUGCAUACAAAGAAGAUGGUUAUUUCAGAAGAAAAGAUGUUCUUUGCUUCUCACACAGAGGAGGAGGUGUCAGUCACAGUCCCCGAGGUACAAAAGGAAAUUGUUACUGAAGAGAAAAUUCACGUUGCCAUUUCCAAAAGGGUUGAACCACCACCUAAAGGUAUUAUCCCUGAGCUACCUGAGAAACCAGCUCCAGAAGAAGUGGCCCCUGUUCCUAUCCCUAAAAAAGUGGAGCCCCCAGCACCAAAAGUCCCAGAGGUGCCAAAGAAACCUGUCCCUGAAGAAAAGAUUCCCGUUCCUGUUGCAAAGAAAAAGGAAGCUCCCCCAGCUAAAGUUCCUGAAGUACAGAAGGGAGUUGUGACAGAAGAAAAAAUAACCAUUGUAACUCAAAGAGAGGAAUCUCCACCACCAGCAGUGCCAGAAAUACCAAAGAAGAAAGUUCCUGAAGAAAGGAAACCUGUUCCUCGGAAGGAGGAAGAAGUUCCACCACCACCAAAAGUGCCAGCUCUGCCUAAGAAACCCGUCCCAGAGGAGAAAGUUGCAGUGCCAGUUCCUGUCGCUAAGAAAGCUCCUCCUCCCCGAGUGAUGGAAGAGCCUGAGGAAUAUGUUGUGGAAGAAAAGCUGCACAUUAUUUCUAAGAGAGUGGAAGCUGAGCCAGCUGAAG
This 820-nucleotide long non-coding RNA is filed under the name Homo sapiens (human). RNAcentral's name for it is "long non-coding RNA NONHSAT186013.1". Lineage: Eukaryota; Metazoa; Chordata; Mammalia; Primates; Hominidae. The record is from RNAcentral.